UACAGAGGUCUCAAGCGUUGUUCGGAUUCAUUGGGCGUAAAGGGUGCGUAGGCGGCGCGGUAAGUCGGGUGUGAAACCUCGGAGCUUAACUCCGAAACUGCAUUCGAUACUGCCGUGCUUGAGGACUGGAGAGGAGACUGGAAUUUACGGUGUAGCGGUGAAAUGCGUAGAUAUCGUAAGGAAGACCAGUGGCGAAGGCGGGUCUCUGGACAGUUCCUGACGCUGAGGCACGAAGGUCAGGGGAGCAAACGGG
RNAcentral lists this ribosomal RNA (253 nucleotides) under uncultured bacterium. RNAcentral describes it as "partial 16S ribosomal RNA". It matches the Rfam family "Bacterial small subunit ribosomal RNA", at positions 524 to 776 of the family's 1533-position model. The record is from RNAcentral.